Long non-coding RNA from Xiphophorus couchianus (Monterrey platyfish), 1013 nucleotides. RefSeq lists it as uncharacterized. The transcript has 3 exons. The record is from RefSeq and is a predicted model, not a curated record. NCBI's taxonomy places the organism in Eukaryota, Metazoa, Chordata, Actinopteri, Cyprinodontiformes, Poeciliidae.
AAAAAAGACACAAGUUACUCACAGAAUUAGACACUGAAUAAAGAGCCAUUCAUCUACAUUUACUCUCUUCUAAUCCACAACACUUAAUUAAAUUGGACACAUUUUUUCUAAUCUAGGUUAAUGUAAGACUAUAAAUCAACUUCAGUUCUUGAAACCUAUAUUUAAUUGUAAAAGCCCCAAAAGAUUUUAACAAUAUUUCUGGGCUUCUUAAUCACCUUACAUGCAGUAAAGCUUGAAGAUCACAAUACACAGACAAGUAAAACCUUGACAGAAUUAUUUUAUACAGAGAUUCUAUAAAACACAGUUUUCAAUUCAUUGAAUCGUUUUGUAAUUUGUGAUAACUGAAAAAGAAAUGCAAUUAAUAGCUUACAAGGGAUGCAGCUUGAGAGCUUACUAGCUAUAAAUGCUAAACAUGGACAGAAUAGUCCAAAACUGUUGAAAUAUUAUGAAACUGUUUUUAAUUGUGAAACCUCCCUUCAAAUUGUGAAAUUUGUGAAAAAUGGCAGUGAUCGCAUUUGUGGGGCGAGACUGCCUUACAUGGUGUCCAGCAGUCUUGAAACUACCCAUGACAUCAGGGAAAUCAUUAAAUUAGCCAUCAACAUACCCCGUCACUUUGGCAGACAGUGAAGGAGGAACACCGUGGCCAAUUUGACCCGCCGCCAUUGUUGUUGCAGAGAUCACUAUAGGAACAAGCAGGCCUGUCGUCAGGAUGCUGGGGUCCCUGAAAGCAGGAGUCCAGCUGCGUCCACCUCCGGUGUUCAUCCACCACGGGCCUCCCAUCCCCCCGCCGGGGCCCUGCCUGGCCGGAUCUGUUUUUCUAAACCGAGAGAGGAGUGACUCACCACUCCGGUUUUAAAACAGGCCAAGGACGAGGGGGAGGGCAGCACCACACGUUAAAAAGCCCUGUUUAAGCGGGCCACUUUCAGCUCAGCACAGAUGCACCAGACCUGCUGGUUUUGCUGUCUGGAAAACUGUGCACUGGCACAAAUGUGGCAUUAAAAUGUUUAGUGCAG